CCUACGGGAGGCUGCAGUGGGGAAUAUUGGACAAUGGGGGGAACCCUGAUCCAGCCAUGCCGCCUGUGUGAAGAAGGCCCUCGGGUUGUAAAGCACUUUCAGUGAGGAAGAACGCCUGGUGGUUAAUACCCAUCAGGAAAGACAUCACUCACAGAAGAAGCACCGGCUAACUCCGUGCCAGCAGCCGCGGUAAUACGGAGGGUGCGAGCGUUAAUCGGAAUUACUGGGCGUAAAGCGCGCGUAGGUGGCUUGAUAAGCCGGUUGUGAAAGCCCCGGGCUCAACCUGGGAACGGCAUCCGGAACUGUCAAGCUAGAGUGCAGGAGAGGAAGGUAGAAUUCCCGGUGUAGCGGUGAAAUGCGUAGAGAUCGGGAGGAAUACCAGUGGCGAAGGCGGCCUUCUGGACUGACACUGACACUGAGGUGCGAAAGCGUGGGUAGCAAACAGGAUUAGAUACCCGGGUAGUC
This 465-nucleotide ribosomal RNA is filed under the name Vreelandella stevensii. RNAcentral's name for it is "partial 16S ribosomal RNA". It matches the Rfam family "Bacterial small subunit ribosomal RNA", at positions 338 to 795 of the family's 1533-position model. The record is from RNAcentral. Lineage: Bacteria; Pseudomonadati; Pseudomonadota; Gammaproteobacteria; Oceanospirillales; Halomonadaceae.